RNAcentral lists this non-coding RNA (30 nucleotides) under Mus musculus (house mouse). Lineage: Eukaryota; Metazoa; Chordata; Mammalia; Rodentia; Muridae. The record is from RNAcentral.
UCAGUAUGUGGUUUGCCCAUUGCUACUGAC